GAUGAACGCUGGCGGCAUGCCUAAUACAUGCAAGUCGAGCGAACAGAUGAGGAGCUUGCUCCCCUGACGUUAGCGGCGGACGGGUGAGUAACACGUGCAUAACCUACCUAUAAGACUGGGAUAACUUCGGGAAACCGGAUCUAAUACCGGAGAAUAUAUUCAACCGCAGGGUUCAAUAGUGAAACACGGUUUUGCUGUCACUUAUAGAUGGAUCCGCGCCGCAUUAGCUAGUUGGUAAGGUAACGGCUUACCAAGGCAACGAUGCGUAGCCGACCUGAGAGGGUGAUCGGCCACACUGGAACUGAGACACGGUCCAGACUCCUACGGGAGGCAGCAGUAGGGAAUAUUCCGCAAUGGGCGAAAGCCUGACGGAGCAACGCCGCGUGAGUGAUGAAGGUCUUCGGAUCGUAAAACUCUGUUAUUAGGGAAGAACAAAUGUGUAAGUAACUCUGCACGUCUUGACGGUACCUAAUCAGAAAGCCCCGGCUAACUACGUG
Molecule: ribosomal RNA, 497 nt
Filed under: uncultured bacterium
Lineage: Bacteria
Description: partial 16S ribosomal RNA
Rfam family: Bacterial small subunit ribosomal RNA
Source: RNAcentral